RNAcentral lists this unclassified non-coding RNA (636 nucleotides) under Hevea brasiliensis (rubber tree). Lineage: Eukaryota; Viridiplantae; Streptophyta; Magnoliopsida; Malpighiales; Euphorbiaceae. The record is from RNAcentral.
CCCUUCUUCUUCUUCCUCCUUCUUUUCCAUUGGAGGAGAGAUAGACCUAUAGAUACACAUAUACAUACACAUACAAACAGUAGAACAGAGAAAAUCCAAUUUGAGCUGAGUAUAGUUGACAUCCCACCAACUAUUUUUUUACUAAUAUAUAUGGUUGAAAAAUAAAGAUAAAAUUCUGCACUACGAAAAGGUUUUACAGGUGGGUUUUUAGUUUUGAGGAGUAUUUUCAACUGGGUCGAAAGUUCAUGGUGGAAAUGAUUUGUUUGUUUCGAUUCAGUAAGGUUAACUUUUUUUUCAAUGAUUGAUUGGUCUUUGUUCUAUUGAGAAGUGAGAUAUUAAGAGAGUUUUAUGAAGAAUCACUUCUGGGGGAUGGAUUGAUUGACCUUAAGGAGGCUUUUCCUUAUUUGGAUUAAACUGUGGAAUUUUAUUGGAGAAGUGGUUGUAGCUUUGAUGAAUUAGGGUUUUGGAGCUAUGAUCGAAUCGUUUGUUAUGUUACCAUGUUGUUGUAUGUAACAGUAGAUUUUGUGUGGAUAUAGGGAGUUAGGUAAUAACAGGUAUAUGUAUGGAAAUGGCUGCAGAAUCUAACACAGGAUUUCAUCAUCAAUCUUUAUCGUUUCAAUCGGGGGCAAUAGGAAG